Molecule: ribosomal RNA, 508 nt
Filed under: uncultured bacterium
Lineage: Bacteria
Description: bacterial SSU rRNA
Rfam family: Bacterial small subunit ribosomal RNA
Source: RNAcentral
GACGAACGCUGGCGGCGUGCCUAAUACAUGCAAGUCGAGCGGACUAUCGGGAGCUUGCUCCUGAUAGUUAGCGGCGGACGGGUGAGUAACACGUGGGCAACCUGCCCUGCAGAUGGGGAUAACUCCGGGAAACCGGGGCUAAUACCGAAUAAUCAAUACUUCCGCAUGGAAGUAUUCUAAAAGACGGUUUCGGCUGUCACUGCAGGAUGGGCCCGCGGCGCAUUAGCUUGUUGGUGGGGUAAUGGCCUACCAAGGCGACGAUGCGUAGCCGACCUGAGAGGGUGAUCGGCCACACUGGGACUGAGACACGGCCCAGACUCCUACGGGAGGCAGCAGUAGGGAAUCUUCCGCAAUGGACGAAAGUCUGACGGAGCAACGCCGCGUGAGCGAAGAAGGUUUUCGGAUCGUAAAGCUCUGUUGUAAGGGAAGAACAAGUACCAUUUAACUGAUGGUACCUUGACGGUACCUUACGAGAAAGCCACGGCUAACUACGUGCCAGCAGCCGCAG